AGGUAAUAUUCAAGGCUUUUAGAAUGUAGUUUCUAAUUUACUAUGGAAUUAACCAUUAAAAAAACCCAAACAAAC
RNAcentral lists this small nucleolar RNA (75 nucleotides) under Choloepus hoffmanni (Hoffmann's two-fingered sloth). RNAcentral's name for it is "Small nucleolar RNA SNORA32 (ENSCHOG00000014080.1)". The record is from RNAcentral. Lineage: Eukaryota; Metazoa; Chordata; Mammalia; Pilosa; Megalonychidae.